Molecule: small nuclear RNA, 104 nt
Filed under: Myotis davidii
Lineage: Eukaryota; Metazoa; Chordata; Mammalia; Chiroptera; Vespertilionidae
Source: RNAcentral
GUGCUUGCUUCAGCAGCACAUAUACUAAAAUUAGAAUGAUACAGAGAUUAGCAAUACCCCUCCACAAGGAUGACAUGCAAACUCAUAAAGCAUUCCAUAUUUUA